AGAGUUUGAUCCUGGCUCAGAAUGAACGUUGGCGGCGUGGAUUAGGCAUGCAAGUCGAGCGUGUACCCCGCAAGGGGGAAAGCGGCGAAAGGGACAGUAACACGUAGAUUACCUACCUUCUGGUUCAGGAUAGCCGCGGGAAACUGCGGGUAAUACUGAAUAACGUCUCCGGACCAAAGGUGUGAUUCCACCGGAGGAUGGGUCUGCGUCCUAUUAGCUUGUUGGUGGGGUAACGGCCUACCAAGGCAAUGAUGGGUAGUGGGUGUGAGAGCACGACCCGCGUCACUGGGACUGAGAUACUGCCCAGACACCUACGGGUGGCUGCAGUCGAGGAUCUUCGGCAAUGGGCGCAAGCCUGACCGAGCGACGCCGCGUGCGGGAUGAAGGCCUUCGGGUUGUAAACCGCUGUCAGAGGGGAUGAAAUACAGGUGGGUUCUCCCAUCUGCUUGACAUAUCCUCAGAGGAAGUACGGGCUAAGUUCGUGCCAGCAGCCGCGGUAAGACGAACCGUACGAACGUUAUUCGGAAUCACUGGGCUUAAAGGGUGCGUAGGCGGCGCGGAAAGUUGGGUGUGAAAUCCCUCGGCUCAGCCGAGGAACUGCGCCCAAAACUGCCGUGCUCGAGGGAGACAGAGGUGAGCGGAACUUAGGGUGGAGCGGUGAAAUGCGUUGAUAUCCUAAGGAACACCGGUGGCGAAAGCGGCUCACUGGGUCUCUUCUGACGCUGAGGCACGAAAGCUAGGGUAGCGAACGGGAUUAGAUACCCCGGUAGUCC
This 773-nucleotide ribosomal RNA is filed under the name uncultured bacterium. RNAcentral's name for it is "bacterial SSU rRNA". It matches the Rfam family "Bacterial small subunit ribosomal RNA", at positions 8 to 796 of the family's 1533-position model. The record is from RNAcentral.